CGCGCGUUCGUGGGCGUUAGUGAGUGACGGAAUAGUAAAGGAACUGAGGGAGAAAAAAACGAGGAUAACAAAUGAGCGAGGAUAAAACAGUACAUCCGAGAAAGUAAAGCAAAGGGCGAAGAACGAAUGAGUUAACGAAAUAUCUAAAAGUGACGGGAAAUCAUUAAAACGUUGGAUAUAAGUAGUUAUUUUAUUAAACAAAUAAAUAAACGAAGUGACAAAUAUACAAGACGGGAACAAACACAUAGUUAAACUCCAAGGAAAAGAAUAAUUGUCGGUCAUCGUGUAUAUCGGGCAGCGUUUUUCCCUCCCUGCCGAUUCUUCUUCGCCAAAUACUUCUUUCGACAGGAAUCUACGAGGAGAGUUCAUAGAAAAGAAAACAUAUUGACGAACAAAUAAACCUUUCUUACAAAUAUUAACGAGAGCCGUGACUCCACGAGCCAAGGAACGCGGUGUCGAGGAUUCGCGUGUGUGCUGUUGGCUUGUUAUAUUUUUUGAAAGUAUAUUAUAUAUUUAUAUUCAUUUAUCCAUCAGCCUCGCCGUUGUAUAUAAGCAACUCAUUGUCUUCACUCUGGAGAAAACAAGAGAACGAAGUCCUCGGUGGAGAGAAUAUUGAACUAAGAAGACUUUGAAGAAUGAGGAAAACUGAGCAUACCCAACGAUCGAACAAGGACCAAUCGGCCCUUACAGCGAGAGAUGAUUUUUAGAAGGCAGUGGGCAUGACGUACCGAACUAAUGCAGUGGCGAAAACACGUGCGCAUCAAGUACGGUGGUCGAGUUGGUGUCGGUCAAGGACAGCAGGAGCAGGUGCAGUUGCAGGUGCGGGUGGUGCAGCUGCAGCAGGGAGAGCGGGGCGGGCGACUGAGGUAUCAGAUCUGCCAGGAGGAGCAGCAGGAGCCUCAACUCUCGUAUACUCCACGCCGCAGCUGCAGCCCGACAAUCAUGCUCUGCUGCGGCCGCAGAAAAGAGGGGCGGGGAGAAGUGACAGACAUAAGCGCCAGUCCCGGUCGGCAGGCACCUGCCAACCAGUUGCGCCCAAAGGAACCACCCCCGAUGGUUAUUCAGGGCGACUUCAGAAAGAGGGACCGUCUUUCGCAGGUGAGCGGUAUCAGCAACGAGAUCUUCAAGCAGAUCGAGACCGUAGAGAACGACCAUGACGCUUCGACGGCAGCGGCACUCGAAGCCGUCGAGCGACGGGGCGAGAUGGUUGUACGGGUCAUCGAACCACGUCAAAUGGGAAGACAAGCUUCUGAGGCAGCCAAAAAAUUUAUCUCCGCUCAAGAUCCUAAGCACCCGAUAUAUUUCGUUGAGAUAAUUAAAAGACCGGGACAAACGCUCGGCCUGUACAUUCGUGAGGGUAAUGGCGUCGACAGGAACGACGGUGUCUUCAUCUCGAGGAUAGCACUCGAAUCUGCAGUUUACAAUAGUGGAUGCCUAAAGGUCGGUGACGAGAUUCUUGCUGUAAAUCUUGUGGACGUGACGCACAUGAGUCUCGACGAUGUGGUAAUAAUAAUGUCGAUACCGAGGCGAUUGGUACUGGCAACGAGGCACGGCCCUCAUCAGCCGGUAUCGCACAGUCGUCAGAACGAGCACAAGGCACCACCGGUCGUCGUGAUAAAGCGGGAGCUCAAUGAGGAUGAGAGCGAUCACGCGACGAGCAAUCACAUCAGGGACAGCAAUCGCAGAAGGGGUGACGGAAGAGAGAUGCUACCGUCCCGUUCGAGGCUCGGUUUAACGGGAUUGGGUUCGAGUCAAGAUCUCGGCUCGAGCAACGGUGAUCUGUAUUACAAUUCACGACCGGAGGGUCACUGGUCUUAUCAACCACCUCCGCCGCCAGUAAUCACCCAUCAACCGAAGCCCUCUACGACUCAACACUUCCAGCCUUACGAGAGGGGCUAUCCGAAGACCCUCGAGAGCCUCGCCGAGAAAGAUUUCACGAAGGUACACUCGUUCUACACCGGUCCGGUGAUGCCGACAAACGGAAGUCGUCGCAUGUCAACCGGCGGUGGUAUGCAGUCCGUGAGUGGCCGAUUGACCGGUCAAACCCAAAAUUAUGGCUACGGUCAACACACUGCGAGCGGAAGAAUAAUGCCUCGGAGUGGCUCUGAUCAACAUCUACCGCGGGUCGAUUACACGAGCAUAACGACGCCGGCGAGACACACGCUCCUGAGAUCGAGUCUCAAAUCAGGCUCUUCGGCGUUGCGUUACAACUCGAGAUACAGUACGCAAACGGACACGACGACGAAUUCUCAGCGAGCAGGUCAGGGUCAGUUCGGUACAUUGACCAGGAGACACAGACCGUCGCUGGAUUACGCUUCGGACACCGAGGCGACGUGUUCGAGCUCACCGAGGUCCGCUUACUACUAUUAUAGGCACAACGUCAAUAAUCCGGCGCAGAGUAGCGCCGUGUCGCAUUUAGCAACACUGUCGCGUUCGCAAAUUGGCCAAAGUUCGUCCGGUCUUAGAUCGAAUUCGUUACCACGAAGUGGCCGAACGUUGCCUCAACAACCUGGCCUCAGAACCGGAUUGAGUACUGUCACGUCCGGGCUUAUCGAUCAGGAAGACAGCGAUGGUGCAUUGUCGGCGCCUGAACUCCCAUCGAUCAGGCGAGACAGAGGGAGGAUACCAUCGUCCCCGAGUGUCUUCACAUCGGAUGAGUACAGAGCCUGGCUGAGUCGGACACCAAGUACGAGUGCGUUGUACGAACAAAUACGAGCUACAACGAGCAGGCCGCCCCGUUAUACGUACAGCGCAGAAAAUAUUCACGCAGCUGCAAAUGCGGCCGAAUACGGGGGCUAUGGGUCGUACAGACCUCUGUCGAGUACACUGGAUCGUUUAUCGACGAGAUCGGCAUCUGCGCAACAAGUGAAUCUCGCAAAUCUUCGAGCUUCGACGGCCAUAAGUUCGUCGAGUCAUCGAACUGCUCCUGGCGGCCAAAGACCAGCCUCGGUGGCGUCCAGCGCGCGUGCUUCAUUGGCCAGUCAAAAAGCUUCGUUGACGAGUUCGGCCAGUCAAAGAGCGACUUCCGUCAGGAGAAUUAGAAAUUUACUCGAUCUCGAGUCAACGAGAAAUAUUCCCACGCCCACGCCUACCAGAACUCAGGAUCAAAGACUGCUAGAUAUUAAUCCUGCAGAGUUCCUUAAGUAUAAGAUAGAGAAACCACCGACAGUCGGUACUCCGAGCUCAACGAGCUCCCUACUGAGUUCUUUGGGUGACAGCGGAGGCGGUGAUUUGGCUGGGGGUGUGAGUGGUCUCCUCUGGGUUCAUUUACUAGCAGGCCGAGGGCUUCGUUCGACGACGUCAUCAUCGGCGGCCACGACGCCUUCCACGCCAUCGGGUCAGCCUAAUUUAGGUAGUUGCGGUCUGAGAGAUCUUUAUUGCGUUCUUGAGUGCGAUAGAGUUCACAAAGCACGUACGGUAGUGCGCACCGGUGAUUUGAUGUUCGACUGGGACGAGACAUUCGAGCUCGAUCUCGUCGGGAAUCGGCAGCUCGACCUGCUCGUUUACUCGUGGGAUCCUCAGCACAGGCACAAAUUAUGUUACAAGGGUUCGGUGCAUCUUGCAACGUUGCUCAAAGAGUCGCCUCUCCACCAACUCGCUCUCAAGGUCGAGCCGCGUGGAACGAUUUAUCUGCGAUUGCGUUACACCGACGCCCAUCAAACUUUCAAGCGUCGCGGGUUGCCCGUUAUCUCGUUGGCAACGAGGGUCGCACCACUCUUCGGCGUCGAUCUCGACACGGUCGUGAGUCGUGAGAGCAAAACCGGCGGAGUUCCUGGCGGCGUUUCAACCGCGUUAGCCAUGGGUGGGGCAACCCAAAAUGUACCGAUCAUCGUGUGGCGGUGCGUCGAGGAAGUGGAGAGAAGAGGCCUCGAUAUAAUCGGCUUAUAUAGACUUUGCGGUUCUGCGACCAAGAAGAGAAUACUCAGAGAGGCCUUUGAGAGAAACGCGAGGUCGGUUGAUCUCUCGCCCGACAAUGUUCCCGACAUAAACGUCAUAACGGGAGUUCUCAAGGAUUAUUUAAGGGAGUUGCCGGAGCCACUAUUCACCAAGUGUCUCUACCAGAUGAUGGUCGAUGCACUUGCCGUAUGCCUGCCGGACGACCCCCAAGGCAACGCUAAACUGAUGUUCAGCAUACUCGACUGUCUUCCCAAGGUCAACAGGUGUACUCUCAUAUAUUUGUUGAAUCAUUUGGCAAUGGUCGUGUCACAAUGUAACAAGAUGUCGCCAGCGAGUUUGGCCGUUUGUUUCGGGCCUGUUUUGAUGCUUCACGCGGAGGACACUGGUCCGCCUCUCGACUUUCAACAGCCGAUAGCCGUACUCAAAUAUCUUUUAGAGAUAUGGCCAGUGAAGUCAGGUAAUGUUAUCCAUGGAUCGACAACGACGACGACGACCCCGAGAGGCUCCAAGAGCUCUCAUCUGCGGGCGAGUUACGAGACGAGACGUUGACGCGACGUGGCGUCAUCGAACUCGUUUGCGUGCGCCUAUUGGGAGGAACGAAGGAUAAAGUUUCACUCGUGACACGUUCGGAAGAUUUCUUCAGUCGCUUCAACGCUCCCUCGAGUUACGCUACAGCAAGUCGUGCGCAGCAGCAGCUCCAGCAAUCAUCUACAUCAGCAGCAAC
RNAcentral lists this unclassified non-coding RNA (4621 nucleotides) under Venturia canescens. RNAcentral describes it as "rho GTPase-activating protein 100F, transcript variant X1". The record is from RNAcentral. Lineage: Eukaryota; Metazoa; Arthropoda; Insecta; Hymenoptera; Ichneumonidae.